GGUCUGAGAGGAUGAUCCGCCACACUGGGACUGAGACACGGCCCAGACUCCUACGGGAGGCAGCAGUGGGGAAUUUUGGACAAUGGGCGUAAGCCUGAUCCAGCCAUGCCGCGUGUCUGAAGAAGGCCUUCGGGUUGUAAAGGACUUUUGUCCGGGAGCAAAUCCCAGUGGUUAAUAUCUACUGGGGCUGAGAGUACCGGAAGAAUAAGCACCGGCUAACUACGUGCCAGCAGCCGCGGUAAUACGUAGGGUGCAAGCGUUAAUCGGAAUUACUGGGCGUAAAGCGUGCGCAGGCGGUUGUGCAAGUCUGAUGUGAAAGCCCCGGGCUUAACCUGGGAACGGCAUUGGAGACUG
RNAcentral lists this ribosomal RNA (354 nucleotides) under bacterium LimB-10-J-163. Its description in RNAcentral is "bacterial SSU rRNA". It matches the Rfam family "Bacterial small subunit ribosomal RNA", at positions 289 to 635 of the family's 1533-position model. The record is from RNAcentral.